This 91-nucleotide transfer RNA is filed under the name Xylaria bambusicola. Its description in RNAcentral is "tRNA-Arg". It matches the Rfam family "tRNA". Rfam says of the family: Transfer RNA (tRNA) molecules are approximately 80 nucleotides in length. The record is from RNAcentral. Lineage: Eukaryota; Fungi; Ascomycota; Sordariomycetes; Xylariales; Xylariaceae.
GGCCUCGUGGCCUAAUGGCUAGGGCGCUAGAUUUCGGUGCUGUCAGCAGUAGAUUCUCUAGAGAUUGUCGGUUCGAGUCCGGCCGAGGUCG